GAUGAACGCUGGCGGCGUGCUUAACACAUGCAAGUCGAACGGAAAGGCCCAAGCUUGCUUGGGUACUCGAGUGGCGAACGGGUGAGUAACACGUGGGUGAUCUGCCCUGCACUUCGGGAUAAGCCUGGGAAACUGGGUCUAAUACCGGAUAGGACCACAUUUUGGAUGGUGUGGUGGAAAGUUUUUCGGUGUGGGAUGAGCUCGCGGCCUAUCAGCUUGUUGGUGGGGUAAUGGCCUACCAAGGCGUCGACGGGUAGCCGGCCUGAGAGGGUGUACGGCCACAUUGGGACUGAGACACGGCCCAGACUCCUACGGGAGGCAGCAGUGGGGAAUAUUGCACAAUGGGCGCAAGCCUGAUGCAGCGACGCCGCGUGGGGGAUGACGGCCUUCGGGUUGUAAGCUCCUUUCGCUAGGGACGAAGCGUUAUGUGACGGUACCUGGAGAAGAAGCACCGGCUAACUACGUG
This 466-nucleotide ribosomal RNA is filed under the name uncultured bacterium. RNAcentral's name for it is "partial 16S ribosomal RNA". It matches the Rfam family "Bacterial small subunit ribosomal RNA", at positions 28 to 507 of the family's 1533-position model. The record is from RNAcentral.